This 270-nucleotide ribosomal RNA is filed under the name Starmerella bacillaris. Its description in RNAcentral is "partial large subunit ribosomal RNA". It matches the Rfam family "Eukaryotic large subunit ribosomal RNA", at positions 91 to 358 of the family's 3401-position model. The record is from RNAcentral. Lineage: Eukaryota; Fungi; Ascomycota; Dipodascomycetes; Dipodascales; Trichomonascaceae.
CAGGGACAAGAAGACUACAGACGUUUGAAAGUGGCACUUUUGUGGCCGUUGUAUGUUCUGAAGUGUAGGGUGCCUGAGAAACGAUGCUUAAGUUCUUCUGGAAAGGAGCGCCAUGGAGGGUGAUAGCCCCGUCUAGCAUUUGACCUCAUUAUUUAGGAUCUUAACAUGGAGUCGAGUUGUUUGGGAAUGCAGCUCAAAUGGGUGGUAUGCUCCAUCUAAAGCUAAAUAUCUGCGAGAGACCGAUAGUAAAGUGUACAGUACUGUGAAGGC